GAUCGUCGGAACUGGGUAUAGGGGCGAAAGACUAAUCGAACCAUCUAGUAGCUGGUUUCCUCCGAAGUUUCCCUCAGGAUAGCUGGCAUCCGGCCGUUCCGCACGGAACGCACGCGAGUCUCAUCUGGUAAAGCGAAUGAUUAGAGGCCUUGGGGCAGCAACGACCUCAACCUAUUCUCAAACUUUAAAUGGGCGAGAUCUCUGACUUUCUUGAACUAUGAA
RNAcentral lists this non-coding RNA (222 nucleotides) under Trachymyrmex cornetzi. RNAcentral's name for it is "Eukaryotic large subunit ribosomal RNA". It matches the Rfam family "Eukaryotic large subunit ribosomal RNA", at positions 900 to 1099 of the family's 3401-position model. Lineage: Eukaryota; Metazoa; Arthropoda; Insecta; Hymenoptera; Formicidae. The record is from Rfam by way of RNAcentral.